This 1265-nucleotide ribosomal RNA is filed under the name uncultured fungus. RNAcentral describes it as "eukaryotic LSU rRNA". The stretch from base 593 to 1265 matches the Rfam family "Eukaryotic large subunit ribosomal RNA", at positions 1 to 649 of the family's 3401-position model. Lineage: Eukaryota; Fungi. The record is from RNAcentral.
AAGUCGUAACAAGGUUUCCGUAGGUGAACCUGCGGAAGGAUCAUUAUUGAAAUUACCGGUGAGGGUUGUAGCUGGCCUUUCGGGGCACGUGCACGCUCGAGCCUUUAAUCCAACACACACCUGUGAACCCAAUGUAAGGGCCCGUAAAAAAGGCCCCUACGUCUUUAUCACCAACUCUGUAUUCAUAGAAUGUAAUCCAUAUCUUCGCCUUAAACAAGCGUUGGUAAACUUUAUACAACUUUCAACAACGGAUCUCUUGGCUCUCGCAUCGAUGAAGAACGCAGCGAAAUGCGAUAAGUAAUGUGAAUUGCAGAUUUUCAGUGAAUCAUCGAAUCUUUGAACGCACCUUGCGCCCCUUGGUAUUCCGAGGGGCAUGCCUGUUUGAGUGUCAUUAAAUUCUCAACUCUGAUUUGAUUUGUUUCUAAUCAGAGCUUGGACUUGGAGUGUGCUGGCGUCUAGUCGGCUCCUCUCAAAUGCAUCAGCGGAAUUAGAACCUUUGGUUUCCGGACGUCGGUGUAAUAAUAAAGUUGCGCCGUCUUUCGACUUCAAAGUCCGCUUAUAAUGGUCUUCGGACGAACUCUUAUAUCAAAUUUGACCUCAAAUCAGGUAGGACUACCCGCUGAACUUAAGCAUAUCAAUAAGCGGAGGAAAAGAAACUAACAAGGAUUCCCCUAGUAACUGCGAGUGAAGCGGNNAAAGCUCAAAUUUAAAAUCUGGCGGUCUCCGGCCGUCCGAGUUGUAAUCUGGAGAAGCGUUUAUCCGCGCCGGACCGUGUACAANUCUUCUGGAAGGGAGCGUCGUAGAGGGUGAGAAUCCCGUCUUUGACACGGACUACCGAUGCUUUUGUGAUGCGCUCUCGAAGAGUCGAGUUGUUUGGGAAUGCAGCUCAAAAUGGGUGGUAAAUUCCAUCUAAAGCUAAAUAUUGGCGAGAGACCGAUAGCGAACAAGUACCGUGAGGGAAAGAUGAAAAGCACUUUGGAAAGAGAGUUAAACAGUACGUGAAAUUGUUGAAAGGGAAACGUUUGAAGUCAGUCGCGUCGACCGAGACUCAACCCGGCUUUUGCUUGGUGCACUUCUCGGCCGACGGGUCAGCAUCAAUUUUGACCGCCGGAGAAAGGUAGGGGGAACGUGACAUCUCUCGAGAUGUGUUAUAGCCCUCUAUUCGUAUACGGCGAUUGGGAUUGAGGAACUCAGCGUGCCUUUAUGGUCGGGGUAUCAACCCACGUAACACGCUUAGGAUGCUGGCAUAAUGGCUUUAAGCGACC